Pholiota conissans is the source of this 88-nucleotide non-coding RNA. The record is from the annotation of a GenBank genome assembly. NCBI's taxonomy places the organism in Eukaryota, Fungi, Basidiomycota, Agaricomycetes, Agaricales, Strophariaceae.
CCUUCGAUAGCUCAGUUGGAAGAGCGUGGGACUGUAAUUUGUUACGUAAUUAAUCCCGAGGCCACCGGUUCGAUCCCGGUUUGAAGGA